UACGUAGGGCGCAAGCGUUGUCCGGAAUUAUUGGGCGUAAAGAGCUCGUAGGCGGUUUGUCGCGUCUGCUGUGAAAGUCCGAGGCUCAACCUCGGAUCUGCAGUGGGUACGGGCAGACUAGAGUGUGGUAGGGGGAGACUGGAAUUCCUGGUGUAGCGGUGGAAUGCGCAGAUAUCAGGAGGAACGCCAAUGGCGAAGGCAGGUCUCUGGGCCACAACUGACGCUGAGGAGCGAAAGCAUGGGGAGCGAACAGG
This 254-nucleotide ribosomal RNA is filed under the name uncultured bacterium. Its description in RNAcentral is "partial 16S ribosomal RNA". It matches the Rfam family "Bacterial small subunit ribosomal RNA", at positions 524 to 776 of the family's 1533-position model. The record is from RNAcentral.